GACGAACGCUGGCGGCGCGCCUAACACAUGCAAGUCGAGCGGGGUUAUACGGAAGCCUGCUUCUGUAUAACUUAGCGGCGGACGGGUGAGUAACGCGUGAGUAACCUGCCCGUAAGACGGGGAUAACACAGAGAAAUCUGUGCUAAUACCCGAUGAAGAAAUUUUGCUGCAUGGCAGGAUUUUGAAAGAUUUAUCGCUUACGGAUGGACUCGCGUUCGAUUAGAUAGUUGGCAGGGUAACGGCCUACCAAGUCGACGAUCGAUAGCCGAACUGAGAGGUUGAUCGGCCACAUUGGGACUGAGACACGGCCCAGACUCCUACGGGAGGCAGCAGUGGGGAAUAUUGCGCAAUGGGGGGAACCCUGACGCAGCAACGCCGCGUGAAGGAAGAAGGUCUUCGGAUUGUAAACUUUUGUCGCAAAGGAAGAAAGAAAUGACGGUACUUUGUGAGAAAGCCACGGCUAACUACGUGCCAGCCGCCGCCGUAA
RNAcentral lists this ribosomal RNA (487 nucleotides) under uncultured bacterium. RNAcentral describes it as "partial 16S ribosomal RNA". It matches the Rfam family "Bacterial small subunit ribosomal RNA", at positions 28 to 523 of the family's 1533-position model. The record is from RNAcentral.